GGUCAUUGUUAGUAUUAGCUUUAUUUAAAGUAAGUUCAACAGAAUAAAUUUCAUUAAUAUACAUACUGAAGUCGUCAUUAUUGAGAGCCAAAAUAUCAUCCAAAUAUCUAAAAGUAUUAUUAAAUUUGUGUAUCAGAUGUUGUUUCGAUGGGUCUUUGCGUAUUUUUGUCAUAAAUUGUAACUCAUAACAAUACAAAAACAGGUCCGCAAUAAGUGGUGCACAGUUAAUCCCCAUUGGAAUUCCGAUAAUCUGACGAUAUACGGAAUCCCCAAAGCGAACAAAAAUGUUAUCUAGUAAAAAUUCAAGGGCAUAUAUAGUAUCAAAGCAUGUCCAAUUAACAUAGUUUUUUA
This 351-nucleotide long non-coding RNA is filed under the name Mytilus galloprovincialis (Mediterranean mussel). The record is from RNAcentral. Lineage: Eukaryota; Metazoa; Mollusca; Bivalvia; Mytilida; Mytilidae.